This 497-nucleotide ribosomal RNA is filed under the name uncultured bacterium. Its description in RNAcentral is "partial 16S ribosomal RNA". It matches the Rfam family "Bacterial small subunit ribosomal RNA", at positions 28 to 507 of the family's 1533-position model. The record is from RNAcentral.
GAUGAACGCUGGCGGCGUGCCUAAUACAUGCAAGUCGAGCGAACAGACGAGGAGCUUGCUCCUUUGACGUUAGCGGCGGACGGGUGAGUAACACGUGGGUAACCUACCUAUAAGACUGGGAUAACUUCGGGAAACCGGAGCUAAUACCGGAUAAUAUUUCGAACCGCAUGGUUCGAUAGUGAAAGAUGGCUUUGCUAUCACUUAUAGAUGGACCUGCGCCGUAUUAUCUAGUUGGUAAGGUAACGGCUUACCAAGGCAACGAUACGUAGCCGACCUGAGAGGGUGAUCGCCCACACUGGAACUGAGACACGGUCCAGACUCCUACGGGAGGCAGCAGUAGGGAAUCUUCCGCAAUGGGCGAAAGCCUGACGGAGCAACGCCGCGUGAGUGAUGAAGGUCUUCGGAUCGUAAAACUCUGUUAUUAGGGAAGAACAAACGUGUAAGUAACUGUGCACGUCUUGACGGUACCUAAUCAGAAAGCCACGGCUAACUACGUG